UAAGCGACUAAGCGUACACGGUGGAUGCCCUGGCAGUCAGAGGCGAUGAAGGACGUGCUAAUCUGCGAUAAGCGUCGGUAAGGUGAUAUGAACCGUUAUAACCGGCGAUUUCCGAAUGGGGAAACCCAGUGUGAUUCGUCACACUAUCAUUAACUGAAUCCAUAGGUUAAUGAGGCGAACCGGGGGAACUGAAACAUCUAAGUACCCCGAGGAAAAGAAAUCAACCGAGAUUCCCCCAGUAGCGGCGAGCGAACGGGGAGCAGCCCAGAGCCUGAAUCAGUGUGUGUGUUAGUGGAAGCGUCUGGAAAGGCGUGCGAUACAGGGUGACAGCCCCGUACACAAAAAUGCACAUAUUGUGAGCUUGAUGAGUAGGGCGGGACACGUGGUAUCCUGUCUGAAUAUGGGGGGACCAUCCUCCAAGGCUAAAUACUCCUGACUGACCGAUAGUGAACCAGUACCGUGAGGGAAAGGCGAAAAGAACCCCGGCGAGGGGAGUGAAAAAGAACCUGAAACCGUGUACGUACAAGCAGUGGGAGCACGCUUAGGCGUGUGACUGCGUACCUUUUGUAUAAUGGGUCAGCGACUUAUAUUCUGUAGCAAGGUUAACCGAAUAGGGGAGCCGAAGGGAAACCGAGUCUUAACUGGGCGUUAAGUUGCAGGGUAUAGACCCGAAACCCGGUGAUCUAGCCAUGGGCAGGUUGAAGGUUGGGUAACACUAACUGGAGGACCGAACCGACUAAUGUUGAAAAAUUAGCGGAUGACUUGUGGCUGGGGGUGAAAGGCCAAUCAAACCGGGAGAUAGCUGGUUCUCCCCGAAAGCUAUUUAGGUAGCGCCUCGUGAAUUCAUCUCCGGGGGUAGAGCACUGUUUCGGCAAGGGGGUCAUCCCGACUUACCAACCCGAUGCAAACUGCGAAUACCGAAGAAUGUUAUCACGGGAGACACACGGCGGGUGCUAACGUCCGUCGUGAAGAGGGAAACAACCCAGACCGCCAGCUAAGGUCCCAAAGUCAUGGUUAAGUGGGAAACGAUGUGGGAAGGCCCAGACAGCCAGGAUGUUGGCUUAGAAGCAGCCAUCAUUUAAAGAAAGCGUAAUAGCUCACUGGUCGAGUCGGCCUGCGCGGAAGAUGUAACGGGGCUAAACCAUGCACCGAAGCUGCGGCAGCGACGCUUAUGCGUUGUUGGGUAGGGGAGCGUUCUGUAAGCCUGCGAAGGUGUGCUGUGAGGCAUGCUGGAGGUAUCAGAAGUGCGAAUGCUGACAUAAGUAACGAUAAAGCGGGUGAAAAGCCCGCUCGCCGGAAGACCAAGGGUUCCUGUCCAACGUUAAUCGGGGCAGGGUGAGUCGACCCCUAAGGCGAGGCCGAAAGGCGUAGUCGAUGGGAAACAGGUUAAUAUUCCUGUACUUGGUGUUACUGCGAAGGGGGGACGGAGAAGGCUAUGUUGGCCGGGCGACGGUUGUCCCGGUUUAAGCGUGUAGGCUGGUUUUCCAGGCAAAUCCGGAAAAUCAAGGCUGAGGCGUGAUGACGAGGCACUACGGUGCUGAAGCAACAAAUGCCCUGCUUCCAGGAAAAGCCUCUAAGCAUCAGGUAACAUCAAAUCGUACCCCAAACCGACACAGGUGGUCAGGUAGAGAAUACCAAGGCGCUUGAGAGAACUCGGGUGAAGGAACUAGGCAAAAUGGUGCCGUAACUUCGGGAGAAGGCACGCUGAUAUGUAGGUGAAGUCCCUCGCGGAUGGAGCUGAAAUCAGUCGAAGAUACCAGCUGGCUGCAACUGUUUAUUAAAAACACAGCACUGUGCAAACACGAAAGUGGACGUAUACGGUGUGACGCCUGCCCGGUGCCGGAAGGUUAAUUGAUGGGGUCAGCGCAAGCGAAGCUCUUGAUCGAAGCCCCGGUAAACGGCGGCCGUAACUAUAACGGUCCUAAGGUAGCGAAAUUCCUUGUCGGGUAAGUUCCGACCUGCACGAAUGGCGUAAUGAUGGCCAGGCUGUCUCCACCCGAGACUCAGUGAAAUUGAACUCGCUGUGAAGAUGCAGUGUACCCGCGGCAAGACGGAAAGACCCCGUGAACCUUUACUAUAGCUUGACACUGAACAUUGAGCCUUGAUGUGUAGGAUAGGUGGGAGGCUUUGAAGUGUGGACGCCAGUCUGCAUGGAGUCGACCUUGAAAUACCACCCUUUAAUGUUUGAUGUUCUAACGUGGACCCGUGAUCCGGGUUGCGGACAGUGUCUGGUGGGUAGUUUGACUGGGGCGGUCUCCUCCUAAAGAGUAACGGAGGAGCACGAAGGUUGGCUAAUCCUGGUCGGACAUCAGGAGGUUAGUGCAAUGGCAUAAGCCAGCUUGACUGCGAGCGUGACGGCGCGAGCAGGUGCGAAAGCAGGUCAUAGUGAUCCGGUGGUUCUGAAUGGAAGGGCCAUCGCUCAACGGAUAAAAGGUACUCCGGGGAUAACAGGCUGAUACCGCCCAAGAGUUCAUAUCGACGGCGGUGUUUGGCACCUCGAUGUCGGCUCAUCACAUCCUGGGGCUGAAGUAGGUCCCAAGGGUAUGGCUGUUCGCCAUUUAAAGUGGUACGCGAGCUGGGUUUAGAACGUCGUGAGACAGUUCGGUCCCUAUCUGCCGUGGGCGCUGGAGAACUGAGGGGGGCUGCUCCUAGUACGAGAGGACCGGAGUGGACGCAUCACUGGUGUUCGGGUUGUCAUGCCAAUGGCACUGCCCGGUAGCUAAAUGCGGAAGAGAUAAGUGCUGAAAGCAUCUAAGCACGAAACUUGCCCCGAGAUGAGUUCUCCCUGACCCUUUAAGGGUCCUGAAGGAACGUUGAAGACGACGACGUUGAUAGGCCGGGUGUGUAAGCGCAGCGAUGCGUUGAGCUAACCGGUACUAAUGAACCGUGAGGCUUAACCU
Molecule: ribosomal RNA, 2900 nt
Filed under: Shigella sonnei 3226-85
Lineage: Bacteria; Pseudomonadati; Pseudomonadota; Gammaproteobacteria; Enterobacterales; Enterobacteriaceae
Description: bacterial LSU rRNA
Rfam family: Bacterial large subunit ribosomal RNA
Source: RNAcentral